The sequence is a ribosomal RNA, 395 nucleotides long. It matches the Rfam family "Eukaryotic small subunit ribosomal RNA", at positions 582 to 975 of the family's 1831-position model.
AUUCCAGCUCCAAUAGCGUAUAUUAAAGUUGUUGCAGUUAAAAAGCUCGUAGUUGGAUUUCUGGUGGGGCUGUCGGCCUGGCUCCGAAAGGGGUCGUGGUUAGUACACGCCUGGCCAUCCUCGGGGGAAGCUUUGCUGGCAUUAAGUUGUCGGCGGAGUGACGCUCGUCGUUUACUGUGAACAAAUUAGAGUGUUCAAAGCAGGCUUAGGCCGUUGAAUACAUUAGCAUGGAAUAAUGAGAUAGGACUUCGGUGGUCUAUUUUGUUGGUUUGCACGCCGAAGUAAUGAUUAAUAGGGGCGGUUGGGGGUAUUCGUAUUCAAUUGUCAGAGGUGAAAUUCUUGGAUUUAUGGAAGACGAACUACUGCGAAAGCAUUUACCAAGGAUGUUUUCAUCA